Molecule: ribosomal RNA, 486 nt
Filed under: uncultured bacterium
Lineage: Bacteria
Description: partial 16S ribosomal RNA
Rfam family: Bacterial small subunit ribosomal RNA
Source: RNAcentral
GAUGAACGCUGGCGGUGUGCCUUAGGCAUGCAAGUCGAGCGGGUCCGGCGCAAGCCGGAUCAGCGGCGAACGGGUGAAUAAUGCAUAGGAAUCUACCCUCAAGAGGUAAAUAGCUUUCCGAAAGGAGAGGUAAUGAACCGUAAUCUCGCAAGAGCAAAGGGAGUAACUUCCCGCUUGAGGAGGAGCAUAUGUCCUAUCAGCUUGUUGGUGGGGUAAUGGCCUACCAAGGCAGUGACGGGUAGCUGGACUGAGAGGUCGGUCAGCCACAGGGGAACUGAGACACGGCCCAGACUCCUACGGGAGGCAGCAGUGGGGAAUUUUGGACAAUGGGCGAAAGCCUGAUCCAGCAAUGCCGCGUGUGUGAAGAAGGCCUUCGGGUUGUAAAGCACUUUUGUCCGGAAAGAAAUGGCUCUGGUUAAUACCUGGGGUCGAUGACGGUACCGGAAGAAUAAGGACCGGCUAACUACGUGCCAGCCGCCGCCGUAA